AACGUAGGUGGCAAGCGUUAUCCGGAAUUACUGGGCGUAAAGGGUGUGCAGGCGGGGAAACAAGUGGUGUAUGAAAUCUCCCAGCUUAACUGGGAUAGGUUAUGCCAUACUGCUUUUCUAGAGGACGAGAGAGGCGAGUGGAAUUCCUGGUGUAGCGGUGAAAUGCGCAGAUAUCAGGAGGAACACCAAUUGCGAAGGCAGCUCGCUGGGACGUUACUGACGCUGAGACGCGAAAGCGUGGGGAGCAAACAGG
RNAcentral lists this ribosomal RNA (253 nucleotides) under uncultured bacterium. Its description in RNAcentral is "partial 16S ribosomal RNA". It matches the Rfam family "Bacterial small subunit ribosomal RNA", at positions 524 to 776 of the family's 1533-position model. The record is from RNAcentral.